This 277-nucleotide ribosomal RNA is filed under the name uncultured bacterium. Its description in RNAcentral is "partial 16S ribosomal RNA". It matches the Rfam family "Bacterial small subunit ribosomal RNA", at positions 29 to 329 of the family's 1533-position model. The record is from RNAcentral.
AACGAACGCUGGCGGCAUGCCUCAUACAUGCAAGUCGAACGGCACCUUCGGGUGCAGUGGCGUACGGGUGAGUAGCGCGUGGGAACCUGCCCAGCAGUGGGGGAUAACCGAGGGAAACUUCGGCUAAUACCGCAUGCGCCCGGGUAACCGGGGAAAGAUUUAUCGCUGUUGGAGGGGCCCGCGUCGGAUUAGCUAGUUGGUGGGGUAACGGCCUACCAAGGCUAUGAUCCGUAGCUGGUCUGAGAGGAUGAUCAGCCACACUGGGACUGAGACACGG